UGGGGAAUAUUGGACAAUGGGCGCAAGCCUGAUCCAGCAAUUCCGCGUGGGUGAAGAAGGUCUUCGGAUUGUAAAGCCCUUUCGUUGGGGACGAUGAUGACGGUACCCAAAGAAGAAGCCCCGGCUAACUUCGUGCCAGCAGCCGCGGUAAUACGAAGGGGGCUAGCGUUGCUCGGAAUGACUGGGCGUAAAGGGCGCGUAGGCGGCACAACUAGUCAGGCGUGAAAUUCCUGGGCUUAACCUGGGGGCUGCGUUUGAUACGGUUGGGCUAGAGGAUGGAAGAGGCUCGUGGAAUUCCCAGUGUAGAGGUGAAAUUCGUAGAUAUUGGGAAGAACACCGGUGGCGAAGGCGGCGAGCUGGUCCAUUACUGACGCUGAGGCGCGAAAGCGUGGGGAGCAAACA
Molecule: ribosomal RNA, 402 nt
Filed under: uncultured Acetobacteraceae bacterium
Lineage: Bacteria; Pseudomonadati; Pseudomonadota; Alphaproteobacteria; Acetobacterales; Acetobacteraceae
Description: partial 16S ribosomal RNA
Rfam family: Bacterial small subunit ribosomal RNA
Source: RNAcentral